CCCUCCGCCGCCGCCGCCGACGAAAAGACCUCUUUGAAUAUUCAUCGAGGGUUUUUGUUUUUUAUGUUUUUUUUAUUAUUAUUAUUAUUAUUAUUCCCCGAACACUGAUAAAUAUUCAACGUGUCAACCGUGUAAACGAUCGCGUUGAAACACUGACGGAAAAAAAUCGCCCGUAUAAAUCCCGAACCGGCUCUCUCGUACACGUUGAAAACGGCGUUUGUUUUUUUUUUUUUCUCCUGUAAUCGUUUGUUAUUUGUUUCCAAUCGUCUUUCGGAAGGGGGGG
This is a non-coding RNA of Cinara cedri, 283 nucleotides long. NCBI's taxonomy places the organism in Eukaryota, Metazoa, Arthropoda, Insecta, Hemiptera, Aphididae. The record is from the annotation of a GenBank genome assembly.